Vitis riparia (riverbank grape) is the source of this 1033-nucleotide long non-coding RNA. RefSeq lists it as uncharacterized. NCBI's taxonomy places the organism in Eukaryota, Viridiplantae, Streptophyta, Magnoliopsida, Vitales, Vitaceae. The record is from RefSeq and is a predicted model, not a curated record. The transcript is spliced from 2 exons.
ACUUUAAAAAAUUGCAUUGGGUAAACUUUUUUUUUUUUAAAAUACACUGAAUACAACUCGAUUUUCAUUGACAUACAUGUUACAAUACAAAAAUCAGUCUUGUUUACCUCACAUCCUUAGUUAUUUCUUCUCUCUUUUCAAGAUUCCAACUUCAGUAGCCUUAAUGAUUAAGAAAAUGCAAAGGGAUUUCCUUUGGUUAAGGACUAGAAAGGGGAAGAAAGAUCAUCUUAUCACUUGGGAUGUAGUGUGUAGUCGAAAGGAGUUUGGAGGUCUAGAGAUUGGGAAAACCUCCUUGAGAGAUUGUGCUCUCUUAAAAAAGUGGCUUUGGAGGUUCCCUAAGGAAAGUCGAGGUCUUUGGCAUCAAGUAAUUUCAAGCAUUUAUGGGACACACCCUAAUGGAUGGGACACUAACAAUUCGAUUAGAUGGUCACACAGAUAUCCUUGGAAGGCUAUUACACAAGUUUUUCAAGACUUUUCCCCACACACUUACUUUGUGGUGGGGAAUGGGGAAAGAAUCUGAUUUUGGGAAGAUUUAUGGUGGUGAGUUCAACCUUUGUGUUCACAAUUUUCAGGUCUUUAUAAAGUUCACAAUUUUGACAAGUUGGUAGGUGAAGAGGAGGCUGAAGCGAAUGAAGAAUCAGAGGAGGAGGUUGAGGAACCAAAGCAAAAGGGUAAGGAGUAUGCCAAGCGCAAGGGAAUUGAAUCAGAUGAGGACUCUCCUCCAAGAAAGACUGCUAGCCACCGGCGAAUGGCAUUUGUUUAUGAUAGUGAUGAGGAGUAAAAACUUGCUUCAGAAGCUUACAGUAUAAGUGAGUAUUUUCACUUACAUCUAUAGAAAGUGAUUGUUAAUAAGACUUGGUCUAUCUUGUUACAGCAGUUGAACAGUUUUAGAUACAGACUACAGUACUGAAUGUUCCUUUCUGGGACAGUAUGAACGCAUGCAUACAUGCUUUGUUAGCUUGUAUGUGCAUAUAAGGACAUGGUUUUUCAUUUGAAUUUGAAUUAAUUUCCUUGCAGAAGUUUCAAAGUUUUA